RNAcentral lists this ribosomal RNA (1391 nucleotides) under uncultured bacterium. RNAcentral describes it as "bacterial SSU rRNA". It matches the Rfam family "Bacterial small subunit ribosomal RNA". The record is from RNAcentral.
GCCCUUAGAGUUUGAUCCUGGCUCAAGAAGAACUCUUUCUACAGGCUUAACACAUGCAAGUCGAGGGGCAUCAUUUUAGUUUGCUUGCAAACUAAAGAUGGCGACCGGCGCACGGGUGAGUAACACGUAUCCAACCUGCCGAUAACUCGGGGAUAGCCUUUCAAAAGAAAGAUUAAUAUCCGAUGGUAUAUUAAAACCGCAUGGUUUUACUAUUAAAGAAUUUCGGUUAUCGAUGGGGAUGCGUUCCAUUAGUUUGUUGGCGGGGUAACGGCCCACCAAGACUACGAUGGAUAGGGGUUCUGAGAGGAAGGUCCCCCACAUUGGAACUGAGACACGGUCCAAACUCCUACGGGAGGCAGCAGUGAGGAAUAUUGGUCAAUGGACGAGAGUCUGAACCAGCCAAGUAGCGUGAAGGAUGACUGCCCUAUGGGUUGUAAACUUCUUUUAUAUGGGAAUAAAGUAUUCCACGUGUGGGAUUUUGUAUGUACCAUAUGAAUAAGGAUCGGCUAACUCCGUGCCAGCAGCCGCGGUAAUACGGAGGAUCCGAGCGUUAUCCGGAUUUAUUGGGUUUAAAGGGAGCGUAGGUGGAUUGUUAAGUCAGUUGUGAAAGUUUGCGGCUCAACCGUAAAAUUGCAGUUGAAACUGGCAGUCUUGAGUACAGUAGAGGUGGGCGGAAUUCGUGGUGUAGCGGUGAAAUGCUUAGAUAUCACGAAGAACUCCGAUCUCGAAGGCAGCUCACUAGACUGCAACUGACACUGAUGCUCGAAAGUGUGGGUAUCAAACAGGACUAGAUACCCUGGUAGUCCACACAGUAAACGAGGAAUACUCGCUGUUUGCGAUAUACAGUAAGCGGCCAAGCGAAAGCAUUAAGUAUUCCACCUGGGGAGUACGCCGGCAACGGUGAAACUCAAAGGAAUUGACGGGGGCCCGCACAAGCGGAGGAACAUGUGGUUUAAUUCGAUGAUACGCGAGGAACCUUACCCGGGCUUAAAUUGCAUUUGAAUAAUCUGGAAACAGGUUAGCCGUAAGGCAAAUGUGAAGGUGCUGCAUGGUUGUCGUCAGCUCGUGCCGUGAGGUGUCGGCUUAAGUGCCAUAACGAGCGCAACCCUUAUCUUUAGUUACUAACAGGUCAUGCUGAGGACUCUAGAGAGACUGCCGUCGUAAGAUGUGAGGAAGGUGGGGAUGACGUCAAAUCAGCACGGCCCCUACGUCUGGGGCUACACACGUGUUACAAUGGGGGGUACAGAAGGCAGCUACCUGGCGACAGGAUGCUAAUCCCAAAAACCUCUCUCAGUUCGGAUCGAAGUCUGCAACCCGACUUCGUGAAGCUGGAUUCGCUAGUAAUCGCGCAUCAGCCAUGGCGCGGUGAAUACGUUCCCGGGCCUUGCACA